AUUGAACGCUGGCGGCAGGCUUAACACAUGCAAGUCGAGCGGGGUGAUGGUGCUUGCACUAUCACUUAGCGGCGGACGGGUGAGUAAUGCUUAGGAAUCUGCCUAUUAGUGGGGACAACAUCUCGAAAGGGAUACUAAUACCGCAUACGUCCUACGGGAGAAAGCAGGGGAUCACUUGUGACCUUGCGCUAAUAGAUGAGCCUAGGUCGGAUUAGCUAGUUGGUGGGGUAAAGGCCUACCAAGGCGACGAUCUGUAGCGGGUCUGAGAGGAUGAUCCGCCACACUGGGACUGAGACACGGCCCAGACUCCUACGGGAGGCAGCAGUGGGGAAUAUUGGACAAUGGGGGGAACCCUGAUCCAGCCAUGCCGCGUGUGUGAAGAAGGCCUUAUGGUUGUAAAGCACUUUAAGCGAGGAGGAGGCUCUUUUGGUUAAUACCCAAGAUGAGUGGACGUUACUCGCAGAAUAAGCACCGGCUAACUCUGUGCCAGCCGCCGCGGUAA
This 502-nucleotide ribosomal RNA is filed under the name uncultured bacterium. Its description in RNAcentral is "partial 16S ribosomal RNA". It matches the Rfam family "Bacterial small subunit ribosomal RNA", at positions 30 to 523 of the family's 1533-position model. The record is from RNAcentral.